This is a long non-coding RNA of Alligator mississippiensis (American alligator), 5470 nucleotides long. RefSeq lists it as uncharacterized. The record is from RefSeq and is a predicted model, not a curated record. Lineage: Eukaryota; Metazoa; Chordata; Crocodylia; Alligatoridae. The transcript is spliced from 2 exons.
AACCUACCUUCAUUACCUAAAAACAAAUUAUCAUAGAUUAUUUUAUUCCAUCUCUAGUUACUAAGAUAGAGGGAAAGCAAAUGGUAUAUAUUCCAACUGCAUUAUAUUGACUUUUGAAACUAAAUUGUCCCUUCAGUGAUAUGCAUGUGAUUUCUACUUUGGUGAAUAAGGUUUGGGCAUAUGUGUUGUGCCUGGGAGCAUAAAUUUGCCCUUAAUCUGCAAAUAUAUCCCAGAGAAUCCCUUUCCUUUCCAGUCUCUCAACUUUACCACUCUUGUGAUGCUAUCAUUAAACUAAUUUUCUCUUCUUAAAAUGUUCAAGUGUAGAUAAGACUACUCAUUACAUCACAAAGAAGAAAAAAGAGGCAAAAUGCCACUUUUUCUUCCUUUGUAGCUCAACUCUGAUGUGGGCAGUCUGUGGUCCUACAGUCUGGGAUUCUUUUGUUCUGAAGCAGUCAAUUGUAUAUUAGCUCAAGCAUUUUCAAAGACCAGAAUUAUCUGCAAAAAUGCAAAGCCAUAUUUUGCUUGGCAGUGUAUUUCUUUGAAACAUCUGUUUAUUGUUGAUGUGCUUUGUAUUUGUGUAAGUGUCUUCCUCUGGCCAGCAUUUUGCUUCCAAUUUCAGUUCCUCUAUCUCACUGUCGGGUAUCAUUACUAUCUAACAGGAAACAUUUAAUUUGUAAACGAAAUUAUCUGCAGAGCCCUCAGGGUUCAUAAAACUAUGAUGUGCUAAUUGACAGAAAUAAGAAACCACAGAGCAUUUCUGCAAACUACCCCUUGUGUCAAUCCUCAAAUUGCAAUUGUUGCAACUGUCCACUGUAAAGGUGGUUGAACUUGAGAUGAAAGGUUGCUCUGGACAAGAUUUACAAAAAAGCCAUUUUACAGAAAUGAGAUGUCUUAAAGGGCCUGUUUCUCAGGAAGGGUUGAACAACCAUUUCCUAAAGCAAAAAGCAGCCCCUUGGAAGCAUUCAAAACCUAGAAAUGGAGACACUCAAACUCAGGAAUCACUUUCUAGAAAUCCCAGUUUCCACAUAGAGGGAGAUGAGGAAGGAUCACUUCAGUAGUAAAAAACAAAAAUCUUAUCAAUAUUGCAUACAUAUAAAAUCUGUGGUUCGGAUUUUUGAUUAUAUUGUGUUAUAGCUCAAUUCAGUUAAAUGAAGAUACAACAAUCCUCAAUCUCUACCGCCUCUGUACUGUCCCCCACACAGAGGACAUGGUAAUAAUCUGCAGAUUUUUUCUGCAAGGUAGCUCGGUGUCCUUCUCCAUGGUAAGUAUGUUUUCUUACCCUUGAAAUCAAGGGAAAGACAGUUCAGCACUUGAAAUCAGUGAAAGCCUGUUGCCCAAAUAAAAAUUAAACGCUUUUUUGAUUAAGUGGAAUUUAGUCCAGAAGGUAGGGUAUAUAUGUACCUUACAGGUUAACUAAGAUUAUAUAUAGAGAGAGAGAAUACAAGUUUGCAUAAAUUCAGGUUUAGUUCAUCAGACACUGUGAAAGGACAGCAUAAAGCAGUGUAUAAAGUGAAGUGAGUGAUUUUAAUACGAAAGGUGGAAAAAGAGGAUCGAGAGGUAAGGGGGAAGAAGGAUGACAAUGUUGUGAGAAGCAAAGAACCCAUAAAAACAAAGGGGUCACAGAAGCUAAUUCAGGUAAUCCAGUGAUGGCUAUAGGCACCCCUCAUCUCAUGCUCUUCUGAUUCCCAGCCCUGGAGCCAACGAGCGGGCAUGCUGACCAGCCUUUCUCCUUCUGAGUCCAUACAUGGCAUGAGCCAUGGAGUAACCACAAGUCAAAAAAAAAAAUCGCUGCACCAAAAGAGACCCUGUGCUCAGCCAGAGGUAACCAUGGGCAGCCCCAACACACAGCCGCAGUGAAUGCUACUAAGGAAAUAGGUUAGGCAGCUUUCUCUCUCAGAUAACUUAUAAGAUAUGGGCCCAGAGGUCUCGGCCACUCCAUAUUAAAAAAGUUUAGAUACACAGCAGUGAGGGCCCCUGGAAAAAGGAGACAGAGGUCUUGAGCCCUGAGCUAAGGAAGCUGGCAAGCUAAACCCUGGGCUAUGACAGCAGGCCCUUUUCUUUUCUCAUGUUCCCAACCUUACUGUCCUGGUAGCCUUUCCAGGAGAGGCUAGACCCAUCCUCAGAAAGAAGUACAGGCCAAAAUUGUGGGAUCAGCACUGCCCUGAUACUUUCUGACUUGGAACCCGGCUGCUGUUCAGGUGGGUCGGGAGCCCAUCUAAGCUAUACUUGCAUUGGGGAGGGGGAGGAAGGAGGAGGAAAACUUGGUCACCCUAUAGCCCAUGCUUAUAUGUAGUCAAAGGGGGCCAACGGCAGCCUUGAGAUCACACUUUUCCACCUGCCAGCCAUAGUGUAGAGCCACCAAGUCUGCAUGCCUUCUCUUGCUGAGUCCAUAUGCGAUGUGAGCAGCAGGGUCAGGACUCUCCAUAUAUUAAAAAAAUCAGGAUUACUCUUCUCAGGCAGCAAAACUUUAAAAAAGUUUGAAAGGAAAAUUGCAGAACAGGAGAUGUCACAGUCGCAGACCUAUGUUAAGUAUGGUUUAAAUGGAGACUUCAGAUUCCUAUCCCAUUACCUGAAUUUGCUGUGGUGACUAGAGAUGUGAAGGCCAAGAAAAAAAAAAAAAUUUAGAAAAAAAAAUGUUUUUUUCCCCAUUUUUCAUAGGACUUUUUUUUUGUUUUUUCCCCCAAAAUUGAAAUUUUUUGGAAAAAUUUAUAAAAACCUCUUAUGAAGUAUUUUCUUUUAGAAUGAUCAAUAAAAUGUUUAAGACAAGGUGUUCAUAUAUUGCUACCCUUUACUCCCCAAAAAUGUUUUCUGAUAACUAUGUAAUAGGAAGACUUUUAUACAAGACUAUGUACAAUAUCAGACCAUUACAAUUCCCGUAUACCGAGGACAAGCAAUACAGUACAACUUUCAAAUGCAAGAGCGAGAUGCAUUUCUGCCCCCAGGGGGUGCUGCCAUUUUCACAAGAGGAGAAAGAAGGCUUCAGUGCUGCCUUUGCUUGUGGACUUCCUCUAUUGUUGACAUUUGAUCUAGAGGUUGGUGGAUCUGCUCCUGUCCUCCUGACUAGGCCUUGGAGGAUUGGGAGUGGACGCUGGCAGUAGCAUCCAUUCAUUCCUGUACAGCUUAGAAACCAGGAGCUUAUUGCCCUGCUUUUUCAAAAGCCUCAGGAGAGGAGACCGAGCAAGUCUAAAGGUUUUGGAGAAGUACAGAAGCAGUGCAAUGGAGCUGAAAGAGAGUAUACUUCCUUAUUGAAAGCAAAAUUGUGCGACCAACUUCUAGCAUAUGGAAGCAUUUCCACACUGCAAGUUAUUCUGAGAAUAAAAUGUGAUUUGCAAAUACUGUCAAAUGAAAUAUGCAUUUCCAAAUGCUACUAGGAUGACCAAAGACAUCCUUGUAUGCAAGAAGUGUUCUGCAGAUAUUAAAAAAUCCUUCAUGGGUGUAAGUGAGGAGGAGGUAAAUCAUGAUGAUGAAAGUGCAAGUAGUUCUUUCCAAUGUUCUCAGUCCAGAAGUCCUCCUGCUGCUGCUGCUUCUUCUAUAACAUCAGCAUCACAAAGGGUUGUCCAAUCAACAUCCUCAAGUAACCAAAUAUUGCAACCAACUGUAUACAAAAGACUCUCAAUAACGUAAUUUGUAGACAAGAUGACACCUGAAGAUCAGAAAAAAUUGACCAAGCUCUUGCAAGAGCAAUAUAUUUUUCUGGGAUACCAUUAUCAAUAACUGAAAAUGCAUACUGGCAGGAAGCUUUUAAAUGACUAAGAACAUCAUACCGUUUGCCCAACAGACAUUCUUUGAGCAAGCUUCUUUUAGAGUCAGAAUAUGAACGUGUAAUGCAAUCUGUGCAAGGAAAAAUCAAUGAAGCACUGUGUCUUGUAGUAGUUACAGAUGGAUGGACAAAUGUGCGGGGAGAAGGAAUCAUAUAUUUUGUGAUAACAACACCUCAGCCAGUUUUUUACAGAAGCACUGAAACAGGAGAGAACAGGCAUACUGCAGAGUAUAUCAUUAGUAAAAUAUAUGAAGUCCUACAGAAGAUUGGGAGUGGUAAAGUUAUUUGCUUUGCUGACUGACAAUGCAAGUAACAUGAAAGCAGCAUGGGGGAUCAUAAUGGAUAAAUAUCCACAUAUUACUGCAAUAGGAUGUGCAUCCGAUGGGCUAAACUUGCUUCUUAAUAACAUCAUGAAGUUGAACACUGCAAAAGAUCUAUAGAAGAGCAAAAGAAGUUAUAAAAUGUGUAAAGGCUACUCAUAUUGUAGUUGCAGUCUUUAAGAAGAAGCAGGAAGAAAAGAAUGCAAAGAAUAAAAUAGAGACACUCAAACUCUGUAGUAAAACUAGAUGGGGUGGAGUGGUGAUCUCAUUUGAAAGUUUACUAAAAAACAAAGAUGCUCUUCAAGAAACAGUAAUAAUUGAGGAUCUUAAAGUACCCAGAAGUGUAAGCAACACUGUACUUGAUGAGGAUGUCUUCUUGGUUCAGCUGCAGAACUCCCUGAAGAUUGUAAAGCUAAUUUCUUCAGCGAUCACUGCAUCUGGAUCAGACAGUGCACUUUUGUCAGACAUUCCUUACCAAAUGGCCCAGAUAAAAUCAAUUGUCUUAAGAAUUUAAAUGCAUCUCCGCUUACAAGUACAGAAGAAAAAAAGUGAAAGACUUUAAUAACAAACGGGAAGAAUUUUGUUGCCAAUCAAUUCCAUGCUGCUCCAAAUCUCUUGGAUCCAAGAUUCAAAGGCAGAAGUGUUAGAGGUGAUAGCACUGCUACUGCAUUUCACUGGAUUACAAAACAAGCAACACACUUAGGACUUGAUGUUGGAAAUGUACUUUCAAAUGUUGCAGAAUACAGAACAUCUUCAGGUAUUUGGUCCAGGAAUGCAGUCUGGGACUCUGCCAAGGAUAUAUCCCUCCUGCAGCAUGGUGGCAAGGCCUUUGCAGGACACAGCCUUUGUCUCCUCUUGCUUCUCAACUGUUUCAGAUUCCUCCAUCUUCUGCAGCAUGUGAAAGAAACUGGUCUAUGUUUGAAAAUACUCACACCAAAUCAAGAAACAAAUUAACAUGUGAAACAGUAGAGAAGCUUUUCUCAAUCCAGGCAAAUCAGUUUUCAGAAGUCCAUGAAGAUGGUAAAAAUGAAGGAGCAGAAGAAGCAGAAAAUGCUGAUAGUGAUAGCUCAGAAAAUGAGACUGAUUAGACAAAGUUUCAUGUAGCAAAAUUUGUAUUCAAUGAGUCUUGGCUUUUUUCUCCUUUUUUUUUCUCAGCUCUUUUUCUAAAAAUGAGUGCUUUCUGUAUCUGCUUGACACUAUGGAAGAGACUACGUCCAGAAUAUGUGAUAACUUUCUUUGUUUUACUAUAACGUUCAUAGUUUCUUCUAUCUUCAACUUUGAUUUUUGCCUGCUUCUUAUAAACUGGCAAAAACUAAGAGAUGCUAGUUCCUUAGAGUUCAGCAGCUUGUAGCUCCAUUUGUAACAAAAAUUAAAAACAUUUUAAAGUAAA